RNAcentral lists this ribosomal RNA (551 nucleotides) under uncultured fungus. Its description in RNAcentral is "eukaryotic LSU rRNA". The stretch from base 185 to 338 matches the Rfam family "5.8S ribosomal RNA". The record is from RNAcentral. Lineage: Eukaryota; Fungi.
AAGUCGUAACAAGGUCUCCGUUGGUGAACCAGCGGAGGGAUCAUUACUGAGUACUACACUCUCUACCCUUUGUGAACUAUUAUACCUGUUGCUUCGGCGGCGCCCGCAAGGGUGCCCGCCGUCUCAUCAGAAUCUCUGUUUUCGAACCCGACGAUACUUCUGAGUGUUCUUAGCGAACUGUCAAAACUUUUAACAACGGAUCUCUUGGCUCCAGCAUCGAUGAAGAACGCAGCGAAACGCAAUAUGUAAUGUGAAUUGCAGAAUUCAGUGAAUCAUCGAAUCUUUGAACGCACAUGGCGCCUUCCAGUAUCCUGGGAGGCAUGCCUGUCCGAGCGUCGUUUCAACCCUCGAGCCCCUGUGGCCCGGCGUUGGGGAUCUGCCACGGCAGGCCCCUAAAACCAGUGGCGGACCCGAAGGGCCCUCUCCUUUGCGCAGUAGCCAUUCGGCCUCGCAUCGGGAGUCCUCGGCGUCCUGCCUCUAAACCCCCCACAAGCCCGCUUCGGCGGCACCAAGGUUGACCUCGGAUCAGGUAGGAAUACCGCUGAACUUAA